GGAGACGUGGCUGAGUGGUUGAAAGCGCCGGUCUCGAAAACCGGUAUCCCGUUCUUCGGGAUCGGAGGUUCGAAUCCUCCCGUCUCCGCCA
RNAcentral lists this transfer RNA (91 nucleotides) under Candidatus Harrisonbacteria bacterium RIFOXYD1_FULL_40_9. RNAcentral describes it as "tRNA-Ser". It matches the Rfam family "tRNA". From Rfam's summary of the family: Transfer RNA (tRNA) molecules are approximately 80 nucleotides in length. Their secondary structure includes four short double-helical elements and three loops (D, anti-codon, and T loops). Further hydrogen bonds mediate the characteristic L-shaped molecular structure. tRNAs have two regions of fundamental functional importance: the anti-codon, which is responsible for specific mRNA codon recognition, and the 3' end, to which the tRNAs corresponding amino acid is attached (by aminoacyl-tRNA synthetases). tRNAs cope with the degeneracy of the genetic code in two manners: having more than one tRNA (with a specific anti-codon) for a particular amino acid; and 'wobble' base-pairing, i.e. permitting non-standard base-pairing at the 3rd anti-codon position. The record is from RNAcentral. Lineage: Bacteria; Candidatus Harrisoniibacteriota.